Molecule: long non-coding RNA, 510 nt
Organism: Physeter macrocephalus (sperm whale)
Lineage: Eukaryota; Metazoa; Chordata; Mammalia; Artiodactyla; Physeteridae
Exons: 2
Source: RefSeq, a predicted model, not a curated record
CCCGCUUCCGGCUCCGGGCUGAGGGCGGCAGUGGAUCCCGGGAGGCCGGGCGGCAGAGGCGGCCGGGACACUAACGGAGCUGCGGGCGGCGGGUGACCUGCGGGGGACCGAGACAAAAUCUGGGGCAGCUUCUCUGCUCCACGUCAUCUGUGAAUUUGAUAAGCGAGCCUCCUAUGGUCUCAUCUCAGGCAAGACCGAGGACAGAGCCCUUUGGCAUUCCACUAGAGACCCUCUUCUACGUAAGAUCGGUCCCUUACCAAGCUGGAGUGUGGAUGCCCAGUAAAUUUGAAAGCCGCCCAACCUGCACUCAUCGGUUCUUAAUACCCCCUGGAAUUUACAAGGAUGUCAUGAGGGAUUCAGCCAGCACCUAGCUGAUACCCCAGGGGCCUGUAUCCACUCUGUCUCCCCACUGUGCCCAGAGCCACGAGGAUUAGCGACCCAUUUGCUGUAGUGGCUAUAAACACCUUCUCUCUGUCUACCCUCCUGUAGGGCUGCAAAGCACACCUCUCA